Molecule: long non-coding RNA, 1565 nt
Organism: Corvus hawaiiensis (hawaiian crow)
Lineage: Eukaryota; Metazoa; Chordata; Aves; Passeriformes; Corvidae
Exons: 3
Source: RefSeq, a predicted model, not a curated record
CAUUCCUUACUUAGAGCACUGCAUGGAAGUCUCCAGGUUAGGGCAAUAACCCUUCCUUGGUAUCAAAAAUAUGUGUUACAGUGACACGGUAAAGUACAAGUGUGGCACCCACUUCAAACAUUAAGAGAGUUCCCAUCAAGCUGACUUUUGAUGGAGUGCCAGUCAUGUAUCACUGCAGACUGCAGAAGGGGCCUACUGUGGAGUUUGUUUGACACAGGAGGAAGAUCUGCGGUGUCCUUUAGGAAAAGCCUUGGCAAGCACCAUGAGACCAAAACCAUCAGCAAGUGGUUGUUCAUACCCCAGAGUGCUGCUGGCUCAAGGCACAGCCAGCCAGACCAGAACUGCUUUUCACGGUUCCCAGUCAUCCUUAGAAGUGGGUUUGGAAUGCGGUGUAACAAUCAGUUCCACUCAGAAGCUGCUGCUGCCUAGGCAAGAGGUCGUACUGAUGUCACUAAGUGUCUUCCUGGAAGCCUCCUACAGAAAUAAAGCUUAAAAACUGCGAGAGAAGAAAGUAAGGUGGCCACCUGGCUCUUUAAAUACUUAUGCCUUACCACAGUGUUUGUUGAUUGUUUCAAAUGAGGACAGCUGAAAAUAUUUAAACAUAUUUGAGCAUGAAAGCAAAAUUUGCUAAAAUGUAUCUGUCAAGUGUAAAUGUUCUAGAGACAUAGAUGGGCCCUGCCUUACAGAAUGGAUAUGGUGAGGCAGUGAGUUCCUUAAAGAUUUAUCUUCAGCCAAGUUAUUUGCCUUCUGUUAUUUCCAUUGACGACGGUGUCUCUACAAGCCUCACUGCCCACCUCUUGCUUGAUUGUAAAGUUUAAGCCAGAAAGAAAUAUGCUGCCAUCUGUCUUAACUUUCUGAUGAGAAAAUUUCACCCUGCUAAUACAGAUAAAACUUCAGUUAAAGUUUAUCUUUCAAAAAAAACCACUGUCCUGAUUUAUGAACAUAAAAAAAUCAGAGAAUGUCCACUCAUCUAAGUUGUCUGCUCCUAAAUUUAUUUGUUCAGUUAAAAAUCUGUGCAUUCUCCUCUAAUUCGCCUGAUUUCAUCUUCCAAAAAUCAGUUCAUGUUGCACCUUUCUCCAUCAGUCUAGAGAGCUUGUAAGUACCAGGCAUUUUCUCCACAUGAAAGCACUUAUUCACUGUAAUCACCUUACUGUAAUAUCAGUAGGACUGGAUUUCAGUUUGGUUUGAGAAUAAAACACCACAGAUUGAUAAAACGUACUUCAGGAAGCAGUGGAGCUAGUGAAGUUCGUAUUCCUGAGGAUUUGUAUCUCAUAGUUAAAUUCUCUGGUGUCUCAAGGGCACACAAUAAUCAAAGGUUUUCCCAGCAGUGAACCCAUCCAUCAUCAUCAUCAUCAUCAUCCAUGUGGACUCUGGUAUAAUAAUACAGUUGAGCACUUUGGGAUGUUUCUUCUCUCUCUGCUGAGUUAUUUUUUUGGAAUUUGUAGGAGGACAAGAGACAUAGAGACCAAGAGAAAUAUAUAGGUGAUAUGAUCAGUUAAGUUAUAUUUCCAUAGGGAACCAGACCAAAAAAAUAAAAUCAGUUUAUACAAAGAAAACACCAGCUU